GCCUGUCAUGUCUACCUUCUGGUCAUAUUGUGAAGGAUGAAUGACAUGUUCCAGUAUCUCAUAGUGGACGGAACAUGGGAAGCAUUCUAGAUACAUCCAGUGUUACCAAGCAGAUCUUGUCAAGUGCAAAGUGACCUUGAAGGAAACUAGUGCAGAGGUAGAGAAGACCUUCACCAGCUGUGUAUUGAACAUUGAAACUGCUCUAUCUUGGAAGACUUAGCAUGGCAUAUCAAAAACACCUCUACAGGCUGUAAUUCCUUAUUCCUGAUAAAGAAAUUGGAGGAUAUUGGAAAAUGUCUAGAAGUUGAUGCCUGUGGUUUCUACUACACCACCACCGGUAAUGGACUCUCACUGGGGCUCCUCUUGGAUUUCCUGUUGUUGUCCUGUGUCAUGGAGAUCCUGCUGUUUUGGAUCUGGACAAGGCGGUGGAGUCGGGGUUCUGAAAUGGAGCCCCCACCUGCGAUACACGUGUAGAGUGAAAACCUGUAAACUUUUGAGUGUUUGGAUCCGAGUGAGCCUCUGAGGUUGUCAGCGGGGCUUUGAUUCUGUGACCACAAUUAAAGAUUAAGGAUUAAGUGUAGGGCGCAGGGGAAGCCCUGAAUGAAUGACUGAAGUUCAGAAUGAAUGUGUAUUCUUUCCACGGGCAACGUCAUGAUGAGGACUCAAAGACUUUGGACCCAUGGGAAAUUGACAAAGCUGUUGCCCACAUGGCUCUGGCUCCAGAGAAGUGGGAAUGCUUUCCUCAGGAGUCUGAGUGUGUGUGUGUUCGUGGAGGAUUGUUCAGUGUGUGCAAAGAUUGCACUGCCGUUCCUUCCUCUGCAUGACUGCAGCCGAGACUAUUCGCCUGUAGACACCAGCUAGCCCCUCCCAUCCGCUCUCCCUAAUAAACACACUGAGGGUUUGCGGUGGUGGUAGCGGAACCCCACUUGACCCCAGCUUUACUGUGUGUCUUGUGUUCUU
This is a non-coding RNA of Peromyscus maniculatus bairdii (prairie deer mouse), 960 nucleotides long. The record is from RefSeq and is a predicted model, not a curated record. Lineage: Eukaryota; Metazoa; Chordata; Mammalia; Rodentia; Cricetidae.